This is a long non-coding RNA of Mustela putorius furo (domestic ferret), 2106 nucleotides long. Lineage: Eukaryota; Metazoa; Chordata; Mammalia; Carnivora; Mustelidae. The record is from Ensembl.
AAGCCCGUAUGCUUGAAGAAUAUCCCGAAGUCCGUGCAAAUAUGACACAGCAGGUCUAUUUAUAGAAAAAGAUACUCCUGCUUUAGGUAUUUGACAUUGAUAGCUCCUGCUGCUCUCUUGGGCACACCUACUCUCCUGCCCUGUCCCUUUCUUUUGUGAACAUUUGCAAGUCAGCUAUGCACUAAGCAUGGAGCUAAAUACUAUCUAAGUUAAUCCUCAUGCUACAACUGCUAGAUAUGUACUGAUAACUGUCAUCAUCCCCAUUCAGGAUGACAAACUGAGGCUUCAUGAGGUUAAGUCAUUUUGCUCGAGGCCACAUGGCUUACACGGGGCAAAGCCAAGAUGGAAACCUAGCACAUGCAAGAAUCACUUCCAAGACGGGGCACCACACUUCUCCCUCACUUGGUGACAGACAGUCUAGGAUGUCAUUAGGGGGUGAAAAGAGGUCCUCUCUUGCUCUCAUCUCUCUGGUCAGCCAUGAGGAAGACAGUCAUAGCGUCUUCAUGUGCUAAGCUUCCCCAGCUCUGACGAGGGAGGCUACAGAAAGAUAUAUUUGCACCGGGGAAAGGAAAUGGUGUAGGAAGGAACUGCUUCUAGGCGCCACGUGCCGCCAUGCUGACCAGAAGAAGGAAUGCUGUCUGUAGCUGCAACCGUUGUGCCCCGAUAAGCUGAGCACCCAGAGUGCACCUAGAAGAUGAGGACUGACCCAGAAGGCUGGCCAGAUGGGGCAGUGUUUCGUUGACCUCGUUAGCUUGAAAACGAGCUGGACUGAGGGCCAUUUCUACAGUUCUAAUGAGCUAGUGCAGAGAGCAUGGCCAGACAAAAUUCGCACAGAAAACAACGCUUCCAUCCAGAAUGUGCCAGGAUGGAACACUAUUAAAUAUCCAGGACCAAUCUUCCAGGAGCCGACUGAAAAACUGAGAAGACAUUCUGGUGUUCUGCAACAGAUGACUACAUGGAGACCAAGUCAGGCAGCUGCCGAGAGCCCUUUCACACACUUGCCUGGGGGACAAGAGACCGAUCUACAGGCAUGAGAUCUGUGACACUUCAUCUGCGACCAGAGGAGCCAUGACACACGACCUUCUUUGAUGACCUCUUCUGACCCAGCUGCGUACAAGCAAACCAGGGAGUUAGCUCUCUCCCCUCCUCUCUCCUUUCUUGUCCUUUUCUUACUUUGUGGUAUUCUAAGUACUUGGAAUAUUCUCUGAGGCCAGGGAAACUCAAGCCAAGUGGUAGGUGAAUCUCAGUAAAGAGCACUCCUCCCGCUCAACAUACACUCAUCUCUAAUGAGGCUUCAAAAGAUAAUUAGACGAUGGUCACCGACAAAGCCCUCCAAAGAAACCACAGGAUCAAAGGAUUAUGUGGUUAGAGUCAAUAGUGAGAUUUAAGAAUCGGGGAGGAGAGAGAGAAGAGCAGGGUCAGGACACACAGAAAGUGAUAUAACCUGAUUCUGGAGAGCCCAGGGGUUUGGGUUUUGUUCUGUUUGCUUAUUCUGUUUUAUUUUGUUUUUUAAUCAGCAGUGAUUGUCUGUUUUCCUAGGAAAUGUGAAAGAAGGCUAGCCAAAGAAAAGCAUGCUGUCAUUUUUAUUCCUCUCCUUUCACACAGUCUUUGGGGAGCACCCAGUGAGACCACCAUAAAAGGCCAUUUUUUUCAGCACAUUACCAGCUGAAUUUCUUUGGAAAAGGACCAGGACUAACCUAUCUUCUACAACAGGGAACAAUGUUAAUGAGGCUACAGUGGAAUUCAAAGAUGUGUAUUGAAAGUUUCUGUUUGCCAACACCACAUACAGCAGCGAAUGCAACAGUGAGAUUUGUAUGGAGAAAAUCAAUUCUGUGCCAGGGCACAGCAUAGCAUGGGGAAACAUCUCUAUUCACUGGGCUCCUAGUCAAAUAAGAAGGGCAACACCACCCAUGGGGGGAGAAAUUUGGAAUACACUCAAAAAAACAGUAAGUGAAUAGGGAAGGGAAAAUCAUGGGCAUUUGAGUUUGUCAGGAAAAUUCAUCAUUGUUUGUCCCUAGAAUCUAGGGAGGUGGUUCCAACAUGCGGGAAUUAAUGAGCACCAAAGAGGGGACUUGAAUGAAAGACAAUGAAGGUGGCCUGCCAGAG